RNAcentral lists this ribosomal RNA (534 nucleotides) under Phyciodes phaon (Phaon crescentspot). Its description in RNAcentral is "partial 16S ribosomal RNA". The stretch from base 397 to 534 matches the Rfam family "Archaeal large subunit ribosomal RNA", at positions 2542 to 2680 of the family's 2987-position model. The record is from RNAcentral. Lineage: Eukaryota; Metazoa; Arthropoda; Insecta; Lepidoptera; Nymphalidae.
UCAAAAACAUGUCUUUUUGAUAAUAUUUAAAGUCUAAUCUGCCCACUGAUAUAAUUAUUAAAGGGCUGCAGUAUAUUGACUGUACAAAGGUAGCAUAAUCAUUAGUCUUUUAAUUGAAGACUUGUAUGAAAGAUUUGAUGAAAUAUAAUCUGUCUCUAUAUUAUUAAUAGAAAUUAAUUUUUUAGUUAAAAAGCUAAAAUAAUAUUAAAAGACGAGAAGUCCCUAUAAAGUUUUAUAAUUUAUUUAUUUAUUAUUAAUUAUAAAAAUAAAUAUAAUAAUUAAAUAAAUUAUUAUAUUGGGGUGAUAGAAAAAUUAAAUAAACUUUUUUUAAUAUAAAACAUAAAUAAGUGAAAAAUUGAUCCAUUAAUAAUGAUUAAAAGAAAAAAUUACUUUAGGGAUAACAGCGUAAAAUUUUUUUUUAGUGCAAAUAAAAAAAAAAGUUUGCGACCUCGAUGUUGGAUUAAGAUAAAAUUUAAAUGCAAAAGUUUAAAAUUUUGAUCUGUUCGAUCAUUAAAAUCUUACAUGAUCUGAGCU